GACGAAGGGGGCAAGCGUUGUUCGGAAUUACUGGGCGUAAAGGGCGCGUAGGCGGUUCUUUAAGUCAGGCGUGAAAGCCCUGGGCUCAACCUGGGAGUGGCGCUUGAUACUGGAGGACUAGAGAGUGGGAGAGGUUGGUGGAAUUCCCAGUGUAGAGGUGAAAUUCGUAGAUAUCGAGAGGAACACCGGUGGCGAAGGCGGCCAACUGGACAGAUACUGACGCUGAGACACGAAAGCGUGGGGAGCAAACAGG
RNAcentral lists this ribosomal RNA (253 nucleotides) under uncultured bacterium. Its description in RNAcentral is "partial 16S ribosomal RNA". It matches the Rfam family "Bacterial small subunit ribosomal RNA", at positions 524 to 776 of the family's 1533-position model. The record is from RNAcentral.